This 253-nucleotide ribosomal RNA is filed under the name uncultured bacterium. Its description in RNAcentral is "partial 16S ribosomal RNA". It matches the Rfam family "Bacterial small subunit ribosomal RNA", at positions 524 to 776 of the family's 1533-position model. The record is from RNAcentral.
UACGGAGGAUCCAAGCGUUAUCCGGAUUUAUUGGGUUUAAAGGGUGCGUAGGCGGCCUGUUAAGUCAGGGGUGAAAUUUUUCGGCUCAACCGGAAGCUUGCCCUUGAUACUGAUGGGCUUGAUUACACUUGAGGUAGGCGGAAUGUGACAAGUAGCGGUGAAAUGCAUAGAUAUGUCACAGAACACCAAUUGCGAAGGCAGCUUACUAAGGUGUUAAUGACGCUGAGGCACGAAAGCGUGGGGAUCAAACAGG